UACAGAGGUGGCAAGCGUUGUUCGGAAUUACUGGGCGUAAAGGGCGAGUAGGCGGCCUUCUAAGUCAGACGUGAAAUCCCCCGGCUUAACCUGGGAACUGCGUCUGAUACUGGGAGGCUAGAGUAUGGGAGAGGAAGGUAGAAUUCCAGGUGUAGCGGUGAAAUGCGUAGAUAUCUGGAGGAAUACCGGUGGCGAAGGCGGCCUUCUGGACCAUAACUGACGCUGAUCCGCGAAAGCUAGGGGAGCGAACGGG
Molecule: ribosomal RNA, 253 nt
Filed under: uncultured bacterium
Lineage: Bacteria
Description: partial 16S ribosomal RNA
Rfam family: Bacterial small subunit ribosomal RNA
Source: RNAcentral